UGCCCAGUGAUACGCCCACGGACUUACCAAGCGAUACGCCUGGCGAUGUGCCCAGUGACGCACUAAGCGAUAUGCCCAGCAAUUUGCCCAGCGAUUUGCCCAGGCCAGCAUACCCAGAUCACAUCGUCAAAGCACUGACAUUCAACAAAAUUUCUGAGCGCACCAGGUUGCUUAAAAUUUCAUCUCUGCCAUACCACCCAGGUAAGUAUAUCCACCAUGCCACCCUUGGAGCACUGAGACUCCAUUCCCAGGUACGUUCUCUGAUCUCUGCUAUUGGCUGGGACACUUUUUUCCUCCUGCGCAUGCUUUCCUUCCUUGAACUCACACAGGAGUUCUUCACCACAUUCUAUUUUGAUAAAAAUGCCAUGCAUAACCUACACACACCUGGCACAAUUGGAUUUAGGUUAUUAGGGAAGCGAUUUCGCUUAUCCCUGCAGGAAUUCGGCAUAGCCAUGGGCUGUGAAUGCCCUCAGUCCACCUGGGACUUCCCUGCUGAGUUUGAUCCAAGCUCUGUGUACUUGGAAUUAAGUGACAAUCCACCAGACUCUUACUCUCCUACUAGGUCCAAGGACCUAUACCUCAGUAACCCAAGUCUGAAAUACCUUCACAGAUUCCUGGCCUACACAUUUUCUGGGAGGAAGGAUGCUUCCAACAUCCUGACCAGAACUGAAUUGUAUAUCCUUUGGUGCAUGCACAGGGGCAGAAAAAUUCAUCUUGGAUAUUGGGUUGCCACCCAACUAUCCAGCAUCAUACAAUAUAAUAGGCCCUUGAUUUUUGGUCCUUUGAUCACUACCAUUGCAGUGAAUCUCAAACUAUUGCACCCCGCACAUACUGACCUCUCCCCCACCCCCAAAACAACCCCCUUGGACCUACGCACAUUGGAUGAUAUGGGGUUGCUUUGCAAGGUGGGGGAUGUUUUUUCCAUUGCACCUGCAGGUCCAGUAACACCACGCCAUGAGCGUGUUUUCAGAAGGAAGAAAGCCACCAUAAGCACCACCACCCAGCAGCCAGCCAUUAUAGCAGAUACUGCAGAUCAGGCAACACAAGCAAUAGGGCAGGAACCAGCAAAUGAGCCACCUCCAGCAGCCCACCAGCAGGAUGCUCCUCAGCCACCUGAAGACGAAGCCCCCAACCAGACAGUAGAGGCUCGUCUUAGAAGGAUUGAAGAUCGAAUGCAAAGGAUGGAGCACUUGUUGGACCUGCUGGUGGACCAUUUUCUGCCCCAGCACCGUGACAGAUAGCGAUUUGCCCAGUGAUUUGCCCAGUGCUUGCCCAAGUCACUGGUCAAAUCACCCCCAGGCCAGGAAAUAUCUUUCCCUUUUCUCCUUCAUUUUUCUAUAUGUUUAUUCACACAUUGAGGACAAUAUGUGGGAUAGGUGUGGGGGUACUGGAG
RNAcentral lists this long non-coding RNA (1393 nucleotides) under Manihot esculenta (cassava). RNAcentral's name for it is "long non-coding RNA (MESC_LNC006228)". The record is from RNAcentral. Lineage: Eukaryota; Viridiplantae; Streptophyta; Magnoliopsida; Malpighiales; Euphorbiaceae.